This 1177-nucleotide long non-coding RNA is filed under the name Equus asinus (donkey). RNAcentral's name for it is "lncRNA (ENSEASG00005032715.1)". Lineage: Eukaryota; Metazoa; Chordata; Mammalia; Perissodactyla; Equidae. The record is from RNAcentral.
AAAUCCUCCCGGGUAUUGCCUCAGCCGAGUCCUGGCAGAGGCCACGCGGAAAAGAAUUCACUCUGAAAGCUGAGCUUGUUCUCCUGAAGGGGUGAAGCAGGCUGAAGAGAAGGGAUGAGAGAGUUCCCCCACCCCACCUCCACUCCUUCACAAGUCCUCUCUUGGAAACUACGUUUCCCCUUCCUGGGAUGACCUCUGUCCUUAAUAAAAUGGGAGAAACAGAACAUCGAGACUUGUUUCCUUCUCAAAUGAAAAGACUGCACGCACUGAAGUGCAUUUUAAAUGCUGUUUGGCAAGUGCGGAGUGGUUGGGGGAGGGGAGGAGGCUGACUUGCUUUUUCUUUGCUGGAUAUCUGGGAACCGAGCCCAUCCGCACUUUCUCCAUGAAACUUGAAGGGCAAUGUAUCAUUGUGGGAGAGAUACUGCAGUUUUUCCAAACAGAAACCUAGCCCUUCUUAGGGUCGGCUUCAUUUACAAGAUGGAGGUAUUUUAAAUGAAGAAGACAAACCUAACUUUCAACGAACUAGGAGGGGAAAAAAUCCUAGAAUCGAAUUCCUCUUUGCUCUGGAAAACAAAUCGCCUCCCUUUGGGUUUUAGAAGGACCAUCUGGCAAGUGAAUUGGCCUCUCCGCUUUCCAUCGAAGGAGCCAGGAGAAACGCUGUCUGCACGCCCCUGGCCUGGCCUUGGAGGAGUGCUUUUGAUCUGAUGGCCUUGCAGGAGGCAUGCCACCUACCUCUGCUGCCUUUCUGUUUGAAGGGCUAGCAGGCACUGGAGGGUCAGGAGCCCAACUCAUCCAAAAUCCCAGUGUGGUUAAGUGACUUGGCCAAGGCCACUCAGAGAGUCAGUGGCCAAGUCAGAACUGGAAGCCUGGUCUCCCAACUCCUGGACCAGUGCUCUCUGUGACAAACAAUGUGCUUCUCCAAGACAGCUGGGCUGUCACCACGGACCAAGUGCUCAAACUUCUAUAGUUGUCCAGACUAGAUUCAUGACAUGGGCAUCUUGUUAAAAUGCAAGUUCUGGGGGCUGGCCCCGUGGCCGAGUGGUUAAGUUCGUGCGCUCCGCUGCAGGCGGCCCAGUGUUUCGUUAGUUCGAAUCCUGGGCGCGGACAUGGCACUGCUCGUCAGACCACGCUGAGGCAGCGUCCCACAUGCCACAACUAGAAGAACCCACAACGAAGA